Long non-coding RNA from Felis catus (domestic cat), 6942 nucleotides. RefSeq lists it as uncharacterized. The record is from RefSeq and is a predicted model, not a curated record. The transcript is spliced from 7 exons. Lineage: Eukaryota; Metazoa; Chordata; Mammalia; Carnivora; Felidae.
UGUAUAAAAUAAAUUCAUUGGCAUUGAAAAUAUCAUCCAUUAAUUACAUUUUUUAAUAUAAAUAUUGGGAAAAGACUUCUAAUAUUAAGAUUUUAGUAGUUAAAAUAUUUCAGAUCAUCAUGUGGGAAACCAGUGUUUUGUGAGAAGAUGGCUUGAAAACCACUGGCAUAGAUUUUGAAGGCCUUAUUAUUUUGAUGCUUCUCUUCUACACACUUGCAUUAUUAAAGGGUUAAGACUUGAUCUGCUCUUUGAAUGAAGUAUUGGAUUUGGAUUAAGGUAAAGAAAUGGGACAUAGAAGCUGGGGAGAGAAUUAAGUGUAGGAGGAAGAUGUGCAGGCAGACCUUUACCAGAAUGCAGAGGAGAGUCAGCUGGAGCCUGGUGGGGGAGUGUGUGCUGUUUGGAGGCCAGAAUUGAUAGGCAAUAUGACUUUACUGUACUGUAUUAAAUUCCACAGUGCUAUGAAGAAUAUGAUAUUUGUUGGAGGAGACCUGAACUAAAAGGCUCGUAAAUCUCUUAACAAGAAUCUUGGAAUUUGAAGUGAUAAUUUCCACUUGGCAUGGGUGCUGCAAAGAUGCUUGCUGAGUGUAACAUACCAUUUAAUAAAAUUUAUCUAAAGUUUUGCUACCCCCACGACCCCCAUUUCCAAAAUGUUGAAUUUUGGGACCAUAAAGGAAGCUUAUUUUGUGUUUAACUUCUGUCAGCACUUGUUAAAAGUCACUUUACAAGCAGUUCUUUGAAAUACUGUUUAGAGAAUCAGCUAUUCUGAACUCUGAUGUGAACUAGAAAUGUGUCUGAUUUUAAACCCUUUUUCCUCUCAAAGCUGUCUUUUUGAUGAUAAUUUAAUAGGCUCUUUGAGGCAAAAGGUAGGUAGCAUAUGUCACUAAUACAUCUAAUGUAGAGUUAUUAUCAAAUAUUCUUGUUUCAAUAUUUCCUCCCCAUCCCCUCUAAAUCUCAUUUAAUAACAUCAAAUUGAGUUAUAGAAUAUUAGAACUGUAAGGGAUGAUCUUGGGUCACGUAGCUGCAGUCUCUGUUUUUUGGAAUUCUCUAAAGCAUUGGAGGAAAUACAAUUCAAAGUACUCUGUUUUUUCUAGCUAAUUCCUAGGGACUGGGCCAACCUCACAACCUAGCCAAAAUAGCAGCAUUCUGCUCUGUAUCGACUGCCAAUUUGUUUUUCUGACAUCAUGUGUAUAUGCAGCAAAACAAAAUUUCUUUAUCGGAUCCCUUUUUUUGUUAAUUUAGAUACUCAGUUUCAUAGAAGCUGUCCUUCCACAAAUGAACAGAUAUGGUAUAGGUAGAUUUUCCCGCCCUGACUUAGGUAAAUAUAUAGCAGUGAGAGUCUCCUAUCUUUACUAUGUGUUCAGCAGGUGAUGGUUAAUUGGAUGUGUCCACUUGGCUGGGCCACAGUACCCAGAUAUUUGCUCAACACUAGUCUAGAUGUUGCUGUGAAGUUAUUUUAUGAUGAAGUUAGCAUGUAAGCCAGUGGAUGUUUAGUAAAGCAGAUUAUCCUCCAUAAUGUGGUUGGAGACCUGAAGAGAAAGAAGACGGACUUCCUUGAGGAAGGAGGCAUUUUACCUGCGGUGUUUCUUCAGUCUUGAGCUGCAACACCAACCCUUCCCUGGGUCUCUUGUCUGCAGGCCUACACUGUCACAGACACAACCCUUAGAACUUGUGCUUGCUGGCCUCUGUGUUGCAUGCAUCAAUUCCCUAAAAUAAUUUCCUUCUCUCUUUUUCAAGGUCUCUCUGUCUCUGUCUACACACACGCACACACACGCACGCACACACACACAUACACACACACACACACCCUGUUGAUUCUAUUUCUCUGGAGAACCCUGACUAAUACAGUCAGGAUUAAUGAUCUACCUCUGGCCAAACUUCAUCUAUAACCCUGCAUGUUAGAGUUUAAAGUGAAAGCAAGAGAUUAGAGUCACAUUUUAUAGAUGAGUGAAUCAGUCUUCAUGAGAAAAGAAAAGAAAAAUGGAAAUUCAAAAACAAGGAGGCAUGAUUUUAUUAUUGUCCAAUAGCUAAUCCCUCAAAUAGAAGAUCUCACUGUAUCAGAGCUUAGUCACCUUUAGGAGCAGAUCCAGGUUUGUGUGUAUAGGUUGGGAAGCUUUCUUUCAGAGAAUAUGAAAGUAUUACUGCUAAAUUAGGUAUGGGAGUGAAUAUUUAUUUAGGUUGAGAACAGAAUCACAACUUCCAAGAGUUUAAAGGCUAACAGAAACUGUAAACAUAACAAAAUCCACAAAGAAAACAUACUUUUAAUUAAUUAAUUGCCUGAUAUACCAGCACCGUAUGUAGUUUUUUGGAGUAUGUUUUUAUUAUUACCACUUCAGAAAAGAAAGAAUUUAGUCUGUAGAUUUCAAACCCUGUUUCUUCUCCACUACCAGACUUCUGUGCCAGACACUGUUAGGUACAUUAAUGUGGAGAUAGGACCUUGACCUCUGCCUUCCUGGCACAAUGCGUGUGUGUGCAUAGUGUUUACUGGAAAGAUGCAUUUCUGAAACCUUUUCCUUUUGUGGAAUAACUUAACUAUAAAUCAGUGAGACUGAACACCGUGUAAAUAUAUCCCAUAAAAAUGCCCAAAAUGACUUCCUGACUUAACUUUUCCUUAUCAGAGUCUAAAAAUGCACAGCUACUCCUGUGCCACCGUAUACGAGGGGACAUGUGAUAGAGGGGAAUUCACAAUGGAAAGGGACACAUACCCUAAGAUAUGCUAAAAUAUUCUCGUUUUGUAAAUUUUAUCAAAACAAAAACAUGAUUAUGUGAACUGGGUAAACGAGAGGCCUCAAAGCAUAAGCCUUUGGCUACCAUAAUUAUGUGUAGAACAUUCUUCUCUUUUCCUGCUUCUAAAUAAUUUUUCAAAGAAUCACUUAUUAAUGUAAAUUUAUUAAUAUAUUUUCGUGCUACUGGGAUAAUGUGUGAAAUUUUCCAUAAUUAACUGUAAAUAUUUAUACUGUGAGUGUGGGAACUACACAUGAAUAGGAAAUGAAAUAUCUUUAAAUCAUAAAUUUGCAAUGAAUAUUUUAGAGCAGUAUAAUUGAAUCUUGCUUAUAAUUAUGGUAGACAUACAAUAAUGGCUGUGUUUUUCUUUGAAAUAGUUUUUUCUUUUUCACCCCUGGAAGGGCAGAGGAAAAGAACAAGAAAAAAGUGAAACAGGCUAGCUUUUAUCAGGAGAGGCUGACUUCAGAAAUAAAAUAUGUACUGGAGCCAUUCACAGCUAGAACUGAUUUCAAAAUGAAAUUACCAUUGGCUUUCAAAUGGAAAUUUCAGGGAGAAGAUGUUAAUAAAAAUGUAAUGGUUAUAAUGGCAACUGUAAUGAUGAUGAUGCUAUGUGUGUGUUGUUAGAAGAGUGAUUAUCAUAAUCUCUGACACUUUUUUUAGUCCAUAAAGAGGUAGAUUAAAAUUGGUACUUACAGAGAUCAUAAUUUAUUCACUUUUCCCUAGCUCAUUAAAAUGACUUUGCCAUUAUUUUGAAAUUCUCAUCGUAUGAUGGGGCCAUGCACAUAUGGCACAGACAAUCAGACUGACAGGAACUUUUAGGCAGUUCCAAUUCUGCUUUCAUUAUUCACAGGACUAAAGACUCUCUUUAUAAAAUCAGUUACUUGGCAUUUUCUCAUUGAUUCUGAAAGAGGUUUAUGUAUGAAUAUGCAUAGGAAUCUGUGGCUGGCUGGUAUAUUGGUGCUCCCCCCAGCCCCCAGGAAAAAAGACAACUAUGCCUCUCAGUACUAAUGCCCCUGUGUAGCCCCCUUCCAUAGAACUAUGGGCUUGACCAUGUAACUUGCUGUGGUCAAUGGACAUCAGCAAACGUGACCCAAGCAAGUUUGUUGAGGGCUUGCGCUUAAGUUGUGCAACUUAAGUGGUCCUUUUGAAAAACUUCACCUUGGAACCCAGAUAUCAUUCUACAGGGAAGUCUAGGCUAUAUUGCUACAGAGAGAUGACAUGGGGAAUGGCCCUGGAUGGGGAGACACAGCAAAGAGAGAAAGGCCACUUGGAAGAAAACCAAGGUCUCCCAGCCAGGUUUCCAGUUAACUCCAUGAAAGACCUCCCCUGACACUACACGGAAUAGAACCACCCAGUCAGUCCACAGAAAUGGGACAGAUAACACAUUAUUGUGGUUUUUAAGCUGGUAAGUUUUUGUUUGUAAAGCAGCAAUAGAUAAAGGAAAUGAUUAUAGAGAGAUUUUUUAAAACCAUUUCACUUGUAUAUGAAAGUCUGAAAAUGAUUUAAGUGAAAUUAGAGUCUUAUUAAGUUGAAUGCCCAUAAAAUGAUGUUUAUUCAGCCAUUUACAUGUACAGCCUUAUGAUUUUGAUAGCUAAUGUUUAUUAAUUACUUUCUGUAUCUGUAUAUUAGUCAUUAACAUUUUAUUUAUUAAAAUUAUUAAAUUUUACUAAUUUAUUAUAAUAAAUUAACUUAUUAUUAGUUAAAAAAAUCUACACAAUUGUAUGUAGGUGCUGUAUUUGUUCCCAUCCUGUAGAUGGGGAAAACAAGACUUAAAGACAGUAAAUAUAUUGCCUAAAGUUAUACAGGUACCUACAGUGUGUGGAAGAUAUAACAAAGAAUUAUAAAAUGCAGUCUGUAUGCAGUGGAAUGUACAGUUUUUAGAAAGGUCUAUAUCCAUGAAAUUAUUGUAAGAAGAGAUGACACUAUUAUAUUAAACAGUGUGGUGCUAGUUAAAAGUGUUUUGAAUCAGAAUGACACCAGUUUAUUUUAUUUUAUUUAUUUAUUUUUUCUGAGACAAAUAUCAUUCUUUUUUUUUUUGAGCUUCUCCACAUUUCACCAUUUAUUAUUUUCAAUUUACAUUUGUUAUAGCCAUCCUAAUUGGUAUAAAGUGGUAUCCAAUUCUGGCCUUGACUUGCAUUUUCCUAGUAGCUAAUGUUAAAGUCCUUCUCAUGUGCUUAUUGGAGAAUGACACCAGCUUAAUUUUUUUUUUCAACGUUUAUUUAUUUUCGGGACAGAGAGAGAGAGAGCAUCGGAAUCGGAAACAGGCUCCAGGCUCUGAGCCAUCAGCCCAGAGCCUGACGCGGGGCUCGAACUCACGGACCGCGAGAUCGUGACCUGGCUAAAGUCGGACGCUUAACCGACUGCGCCACCCAGGCGCCCCUGACACCAGUUUAAAUGGUGGCUCUGCUCCCAGCUUUGUGACGUUAAACAACUUAUUUAAACUCUCUGAGCCUCAGUUUUCUUAUCAAUCAGUUUAAAAAUGUCUGUUCCAUGGUUGUUGAGAGAGUAACCUGGGCCAAGGAGCCAGCUUAUAUCUAAUUCUGUGGAUUAUUCUCAUCUCCUCCCAAAUCCAUGUUCUGAGACAUAACAUGGGUGGUUUAAAAUCAGACAAUCAGGGAGUAUUAAUACUCCGAAAAUAUUAAAGCCCCAUCAGCCAAAAACUUCCAGCCUGGAGUCUGACAAAACCUGAUUUACCGACUCAACAGCAUAGGAGUGCAGUGUCACCCUGACAAAAGGGAGGAGCCGGUGUCGGUCAGUGCUGGGUUCCUCACAGAGGAUCCUGAGAAGUAUCUACAGGAAGAGGAAGAGCUGAUCCAUUCUGGAUUGGUUGCCGUUUCUGGGACAGGGUUAUGAGAGUAUACAUUUUGGAAGGAAAACAAGUUGUUUCCACAAUGGACAGAAAUUAAGGAGCUCUGCCAGGUUCUUACAGUAAAGACUGGAGACAUCCCAUUUUGAACCAUUUUGAAGCACAUUGCAUUCUUCUUUGCAAGGCCUGCCCUGUGACUUCAGUUUUCUGAUGGAUCUAAGAAGAGUUGUUGAUUUUCAGAAAAAAUAUUGACUGCAAGUAUAGAAAUCAAGAGUCUACUAGCAGAUGGGAAAACAGUGAAGUUUGGAAUAUGUUAAUUUCCUGCCAACUUUCAGGAAUCUGUUCCUGAAUUAUAACGGGCAUGAUGAAAGUGGAAUUGGUUUCCGUGUUAACAUUUGGUGUCCUGCAUGUAUCGUUCAAGAAGAAUAAAAAUAUUCAAGGUCACUUUAAGGAACAGGACAGAGCCAUCAUCACCAUCCAUCUCCAGAGCUUCUUCAUCUUCCCAAACUAGGACUCUUCAUCUAGGAUAAAUCUUCACUCCUCACUCUCCAAUCCCCUGGCAACCACCAGUCUACUUUCUGUCUCUAUGAAUCUGACUGCUCCUGGCACCUCAGGUGCUAUAAAAGACCUGAGGCUCAUGUCUGCAGAACAACAGGCAGUCUAUAAUCUACCCCACUAGCACCAGUGAAAAGGAGUAAGUAGGCCAUUGUGCCCUAUGUGAUUUUUUUCCCAUGUAAGUAAAGCCUGUUCCCACCUAUUUUUCUGAUUAAAAUCUUACGGAUAGACACAUCGGUAGGGAGACUAUUCCUGAGUGCUGCAUAGCUCUAGGGGGAAAAAAAGCCAAUAAGAGAGAUAAAGUUUAGGAUUUGAAAAGGAGAUAACUAUAAAUGUACAUUGGCGUUUAGGGAGAAGCAAAGUGAAACAUUUUUAGCAAAGGGUGUAGUAGAUGCUUGAAAAUAUGUUGCUACAAAAAACCUAAAUUGGACUCAACACUUCUUGAGACUUUGAUCUAAAUCAAAAGGUUUUUGGACAGCUUAUAGAUUUUUUUCUUCCCUGAAACUGUUGGAAGCCAUAAGAUUUGAAAAGGAAUUUCACACAGAUAUGAUUAUCACAGCAGCGAUAAACUGUUAUCUCUACAGAACAGAAGUAGGCAAGUCAAUGUUUUGUGGGACCAGGUUCCCCAGCCAUGGAGAUACCAGAGGCUGGUGUGGGAAACCCAAACUGAAAACAUGGGAUAUUACACAUGUUAAAAGAAUCCUGAUGAAGUUUAACCAGCAUAAACUUUGCCAAAUCAUUUAAAUGUAAAUAAGAUGCUUUUAUAUUGAAUGGCUUGGAAAAGGCAACUUUUGCUCUUUCUCCACAAAUUUUAUUCAGUUUUUAUUUUUAAAGUUUUAUUUAUUUAUUUGGGGGGAGGA